UCCGAUGUUGUUCCUUUAGCAUUAUAUGACAUAGUGGUGUGUUAUUUGACUAGACUCGUGUUAUUUGGAGGUCGAUUCGCAUGGGAAGGCAUUUUUGAGUAUUGAUUCAAGCACCUUGAGGUAAGUAACUUGUCUAAACUUGGUUUGAGGGUAAAAUCAUUGUUGGCUAUGAUAUUGAGAUAUGUAGGGUAUGACACACAUGCUAGGUGACGAUCGUAUAUGCAUACAACCGGGUU
Molecule: long non-coding RNA, 236 nt
Filed under: Nicotiana benthamiana
Lineage: Eukaryota; Viridiplantae; Streptophyta; Magnoliopsida; Solanales; Solanaceae
Description: long non-coding RNA (NBEN_LNC040006)
Source: RNAcentral